RNAcentral lists this long non-coding RNA (7283 nucleotides) under Fragaria vesca (wild strawberry). Its description in RNAcentral is "long non-coding RNA (FVES_LNC002446)". Lineage: Eukaryota; Viridiplantae; Streptophyta; Magnoliopsida; Rosales; Rosaceae. The record is from RNAcentral.
ACAAAUGCCGCAAUCCAUAAUCCAAUAAUUCAUAAGGAAAACCAAAGCCUUACUUAAGCAGAUCUGCACCCAUAUGGAGAAAUUAACCCAUAAGUAGAUCCUAGCUAGCAAGAGCUUAGCUUCUCAAACCCUCGACAAGACUCGUCACAUUUGUUCUGCAGGAAGACUUGUUCGUCAAGAAAGAGAAUCAAGAAGAGGAUGAGAUCAACGGAGGAUGUAAUAUUUGGUUAUAAUAGAGGUUUUGUAAUCUGCAGUGAGGUUGUGUUUAUUUUUAUAUAUCGUGGAAAAAGUGGAGGAUGUAAUGAGGCGACGAAAGAUCGUUGGUUCAAAGCAUCUGCCGGGUUUUGGGAAGGCAAAGGAACUUAGUUCAAUACCUAUUGGGUUUUAAAACAGACUGGGCUUAUCAUCUCUAUUCCUUUUUUCAGAUUAGCCCGACCCAGCCCAAAUAACAGCCAUAUUUUCAGCAAGCUACGCUGAACAGUGUGACUAGCUUAAUAGUUUACACAGUUCACAGUUGCAUCUUUCAAUUUCAUAAAAAAAUGGCGAGGACAUGGUUUUCCAGAACCUUCUCCCCCGGCCCACCGCUUCUCACUCUCCGCGUUUGCAUCGUUGGAAGUGGACCCGCCGGCUUCUACACGGCCGAGAAGGUAAAGCCUUGGAUUCUAGAGGUUUUGUAGAGUUAAGUGAGAGGAACUUGAAGUUUGUGAGUUCAUACAUAAUGUAAUUGAGCAGUAUGAAAUUUUUGAAUGCUUGUUUGUUGAGUGUUUAGCGUCAUUUUGUGCUUCCCACGAUUCGUUCGUUUAGUACCUCUUAUGUUUGAGCUUAUUGUGAUCAGAAAACUUGCAACUGAUUGAAUGCUCAUUCUUUGGAAAUGUCACUCUUGGAUCCUCUGUCACUCUUCCCGAGCUCCGCCAGCUGUAUGAUGUGGUGAGUUUCUAGCUCAAUAAUGCGAAUUCGUUCUUGUUGUGGUUGUUUGUUUGAACAAGUUAUUUAUGCAAUUGAGCAGGUUGUGCUUGCCGUAUGGCGCUGAGAGUGAUAGAGUUCUUGGUAUACCAGGAGAGGUAUGUAUUGCUUGUUUCGAUUUUUUUUUCUGCCGUUCUUUGUACAAUAUACUGGAUAGUGUUAAUUCAAAAUGAAUGUGGGGAUCAAACUUAGAGGGUGUGAAAUGGUAAUAUAUCUUAUUGUAUAGGAGGGCCUAAAUAAGAUCAAGCCUUCAUUAGGGUGAUUACAGCGCAGCUUUCCUUGCUUGAGUUUUGACCGACAUGGCAGGUUGCAAGCAUAUCUGAAGACCUUAAGCAAGGCAUAGUAUCCUCAUCAUCUAACUCAGGCAAGGAAGGUCUCCUCCAAUUGCUGGGCAACCGAAAUGUAAGAGUUGUACCAUUUAAUAGAUGGGAAAAGAUAGACUCACGAGAAAGAGAGCUUGGAUUUUUGAGAGACAAGCCUCGGGAAAAAUUAGCCACAUUGCAGGAGCUUGAGGAAGCAUCAGAGUAAUUGAAUAUAAAGGAUUAAGGUCGUCUUUAUUAGAGCUUCAGUAGUACAUUGUUUGUAAACUUAGUGAAGAUAACUAUUCGUUAAGAAUGAGCUUUCAUUUGUCAUUGCUAAUAUUUGAACUUCAGGUUUAAUGGUGUUCCUUUUGAAGAAUAUGAUCACGUAUGUAUUUGUAUCCGGUAAAACUUAAUAAAUCGUGAAUCCUGCAUUAACCCUUUGAAGGAUAAAGACAAUGAUACCCAUGUCUUGAAGAAUUGCUAUCAGACAUCUCCUAUAAACAUAUAUUAAGGAUAAUACUAAGAUCAUGCAUGAUUGCUGCAUAAAUAUUCUUUAUAAGAAGAUGAAUUAGAAAUAGAAUCAGGAGAUACUUUAUUCAUAUGGACCGACUACUGCUAUAGAUAUACGCAUGCAUGAUACAGAUCGAUCAAUAACCAAACCAAAAUAGGAAGCUAGCCAACAACAACAACAGCACGUAUGUCUGUAUGUGGCCAUACUUCAAGACUUACAAGGAUGACAUGCAUGCUAUGAACUACGACCCAAUGAUGGCAGGACCCAAAACGGCAUAUUCAUCUCGUUCCAAUUCCAGUUACUUAUAGAAUCAGAGGCGAUUAGUGUAGUUCUGGACUUGUCCCCUAAAUUGAAAAUACCCAUCUCGCUUUUUAAGAUAUCACUAUAAUCUUUCGGAUACUCAUCCCGUCUAACACUUUCUGUAGCAUAGUAUAUGCAGUUCGGCUUGCAGCCAGGAAUACUUAAAGCUAAAACAGACUGGGAUUGGCUCUGACCUAAGAAUAUUGCAUCAUCCCCAAUGCAUUUUACCUCAACCAGCUGAAAGGGGGAUUUGUCUUCCUCGUUGAACACGAUCUUGCAAACGCCAAAGGAGGUUUCUUCAAACUCAUAAAAUCUUUGAACGAGCAAUAGGUCUCCGUUUGUUGACUCCACGAGAUAUUGCUCCCAACAACGUGCAUGGAAAAUAUUCCAAGCAGGUUCUGGUUUAAAACCACUAUACUGUAUCUUCGGCUGUGUAAGGUUAAUGCUAUCAACAUCCAAGGUUAGCAUCCCGGAGCCUACCAACUUAUUUCUGCUUUCAAGAAGCAAGCAGAUUUUGUUUCUAUAAAAUAUAGCAUCAUCAAACUUAAGGAAAUGUUGAUCUAGUCGGUCGAUCGUGAUCCAAGAUUCUUGUCCUCCUUUAAAUAGCGCUAACGUUGGAUUAUAAACAUUUAUAAUUCGUCGUACUACGCCGUUUGGUAUGCGGUGCGUCAAUAGCGCUAACGUUGGAUCAUGAACAUUCAUAUGUCGUCGUACUACGCCGUUUGGCAAUGGUAUGCGGUGCGGCAAUGGUCUAUAUAAUGCAAAUAGCACGUAAUAGUUUUCCGGAUGCAAAGCUGGGUUAGCAGACAAGAUAACUCUGGGGAUCCAUUCUUUAACAUGCUCGAACAUUUCUGGGAUGCAAUGCAUAUAGGGAGGAAGAUGAAUCACCUCUGAUGCUUUUCCGAAAGGGUUUCGCAGAGUUAUUUCAUGAACGAGCUUGAAUCUUCUAUUUUCAGGCCAUUCCCCGGUUGAUUGGAGUGCCGAGGCCAACCAACCUUGGCUAGAGCCACAAAGGUUCUCAUUGUAAGGCAUCGAUAAACGAAUGUUGAUGUUGUUGUAGAUUUUUCUUUCUGAAACGCUAUACAGUAGUCUUUGCUUUGUAUCAUUAUCGGAUUCAUUAGGGGCAAGCAUGAGCAUGGGAAGUAGCUUAGGCUUACUCACCCAACGUUGCUUAGUGCAAUUGUAGAGUUUUGCAACUUGCUGCAGUUCCUUACAAACAGCCGCGAAACGAACAUAAUCGACGAGCUCCAACAACUUAUCAAGAACACAAUACAGAACAUCAGUUGGAAGACAUGAAAUCUGAAGCUUCAUCUCUCUUUGUUCGCAUCCUAAUUGGCCAGUUAUUCGUCGUCUUUUAACAUGUCUCUCUUGAUCUUCUGCUCCUGCUUCUUCGUCUUCUAGACUCAUUGACACCUCAUUCGACCUAGAAAAACCAAUAUCAUCAUCAUGCUCCACCAUCCCUUAUAUCUCUAUGUUUUUCCUCUCUUGAUUUCUUUCUUUUUAUGUUCACACAGAUCAUACCGUUAUAUAGGCAAAUAAAGAAGUCAGAGACACAUUAGGAUUAGGAAACCCUAGCCCUCGGGAAAAGAGUCCAAGUCAGGUUAUGAUUAGGAAGCGUUGGAAAUCUUACAACCGUAUCCGGAGACCGUUAUACAAUGUUAAUUAAGUCAGGAGUUACACGCUAGGUGGCUUCGAUGCAUUAUCUGCACAUUAUUAGAGAUAAGAAUACCAAACCAUAAGGACAACCAAAACCUGAAACGUCUCCCUACUCACUUCGUACAACCUGCAAGAGCUUAAUUAGCUUCUCAAACCCUAAAUGCGGACUACCAAACGACGACGUCACCUUGUUCUGCAGGAAGACUUGUUCGUCAAGAAAGAGAAUCAAGCUAGUAGAGGAUGAGAUGAAUGUGAUGAUAGAUCAUUGGUUCAAAGCAUCAGCCGGGUUUUGCAAAGGCAAAAACUAGACUUUAUACCUGCGAUACUCGCGUGUGAAGGUAACUGUCUUACUUCUUAUAUUCGCUUUUCAUAAUUAUUUACACUUUUUUUUUAAUUUCUUUUUGCUUUUAACUAUAAUAACUUUUUAAGUUAGUUGUUUCAAUCAACUCAUUAAUGAUAGUUUAGGCAAAACAUAAUUUGGUAAAUUUCUUGAACCCCUCGCUUUAUUGUAGUAAAGAUAAAGAUAACAUAAUUUUGAGUCUAAGUUCAACACAAAUUAGGAUUAGUGUCAUUGGACUCGAGUCUAUUCAACACCUAUUGGGUUUUAAAACAUUGGGCUUACCAUCUCUAUUCUUUUUCAAAUUUUGCCCGACCCGACCCAAAUCACAGCCAUAUAUUCAGCAAGCAGAGCUGAACAGAAGGUAAAGCCUUGGAUAUUCGUUUUAGCAAUUGAAGUGUUUUUGGUCUCUGUAAAUUGAAUGACGAUUUCGAAUUUGAUGGAUACAAUUGGUUUCUGAUUUGAAUUAAACUGAAUUAGACGCUGAAGGUGCACUAGGAAACUCAGGUUGAUAUCAUUGACCGGUUGCAUGCCCACGCCUUUCGGGUUGUCCGCUCCCAGGUGAUCAUAUGAUUCCCGAAUUUCAUUGCUAUUUCGGAACUUCUAGAGGUUUUGUAGAGUUAAGUAAGAGGAACUUGAAAUUUGUGAGUUCAUACAUAAUGUUAUUGAGCAAGGAUGAAAUUUUUGAAUGCUUUCGGUGUGCCAAAAUGUACCUCUUAUGUUUGAGCUUAUUGUGAUCAGAAAACUUGCAACUGAGAGUUGCUAUUGGUUUUAAAUAACAUCCUUCCGCUCUCUCUCACAGUCUAGGUAAUAUAAUAAUUCUCUUUUAUCUUUAGUAAUAUUCCCUUCCAUUGGUGUUUUGUGGCUUGUUGCUGUCAUUUGGUAAGGAAGAGAUGAAAAAUAAUUGAAUUUGAAAAAUGGGUUUAUGAGUUGCUGUCUGAGGCUGCUACAUCAAGACCUUCGCAUCCGAGUUCAGAUCCAGUGAACUCCACUUUGUUUUCUUUCGGAAGCCAGAUAAGUUUCUGAAAUCUGAUGAGAGAAGUGGCCAUAUUUCUGGUGUCAGACUUGAGAAGACAAAGCUCAUAGGUAAUUUAUCCUUCAUAAAUGUGUGAUGUUAAAUUUUUUAUGUAUUUUCAGUGCAAUGAACGCAGCAGUUGAUCACUGGAUGUCUGGACUAUAGAUUCGUAUUGUACCGUAGUAUAACAGAAGAGGUCAAUCAAGUUAACGUGAAAGCUGUUAAUAACAUUAGUAAAUGAUCUAUAUGAUUAGCUGUCCAAAACUCCAAAUUAUAGUGAUAAAUCUGCUUCCUUCACUUUAAACUGUAGUGUGAACCCUGGAGAACUAAUGCCUGCGCGUACUGGACAGUUUGAAGAUCUUGGAUGCGGGUAUACUCUCUAAAUUUCAAGCUUUGUCUAUCUCCUACCAGUCACAGAUACGUGUAAUGUGUGUUAGUUGCAUAUGUUGGACCCCCUAAAGGUAGGUAGGUGUGUGUGUGUGUGAUGAAUCAUGAUGUGGUACUCACAACUGUGUAUUUCUUCUCUCUGUAGAAUCGUUCUAAAGAGCAUUGGUUACAAAUCAAAACCAGUUAAUGGCUUACCCUUUGAUAAUCAGAGAAGUAAGCAUUGGUUAUAGCUGAUCUGGAUCUCAGGUGUCCUUUAGAGAUACACUUUAAACAUUCUGAUUGACGGCAUCUUCAAGCAUUAAGUUCAUGCUAAUAUACAAAAUUUCAGGAAUAUUAUUCCACUAACAUGUAUUAUGACAUGCACAUAUUUGUGGGUAGUUCAGUUCAUUUGAAAGUUUGGAGGCAUGAAAGAUCUGUUCCUUAGAAGUUUGGAUCUCAAAAGAACUAUGUUCCUAUGCUCUUCGAUAUUGCCCAAUUAAACUUUAUAUGAAAUGAGAUGACAUGAAAAUUUAUAUGGCUGACAUGCAUAAGAGAAAGAAAUCUGAUCUGACGGCCCUUUCUCGCAGGUGUGGUUCCAAAUGUUAGAGGGCGACUUAUAAGUGAAGCAUCUGGAGAUCAUACACGGCUAGAGAAGGGUUUUUAUGUAUGUGGAUGGUGGAAGAGAGGACCAACUGGGAUCAUUGCUACAAACCUCUAUUGUGCAGAAGAAACUUUAAGUGGUAUUGUACACUACUUGAAAGUAACAAAGAUCAGAUGUAUAUUUGUACAACUUUUCACAAUAGCUUCAAUACAAAACAACAGAAGGUUGAUGUAUUCCCAAAGUUCUUCACAGAGCAUUAUGAACUUUCUCUACUGAUUCCAACGUAUCACAACUCUACUAUUGAAUUAAGCUAACUGAAGCUAGCUACAAGCUAGCAACAACAAAUGUGUCUGAGUUUGACACAUUUGUUGUGGCUAGCUAAAGCUAGCACAUCACAUCUCACUCUGAAAAAUUUUCAAUACAAAAAAAGAAAAUAAAUUGUAGCUCACAGAAAAGAUAGCAACAAGCUAGCACAUCUCAUCAGUGUGAUCCCCCCUCUUCCUUUUGGUUCCGGAAGUUUCACCAGUUUCCCUCUUCCUUUUGGUUCCGGUAGUUUCACCAGUUUUCAUAGUUAAAACUUCUCCUUUGGAAGGCAGUGAGGUAUGGUAGAAGGCUGCAGCAUAAGUUUUAGGGAACAUCUCAUCUUCUUGACGGUAGAUUUCAAUCUUGGAAUUCUCACGCACACUGUAUACCACAAUAACAGCCAUAUUUUCAGCAAGCUACGCUGAACAGUGUGACUAGCUUAAUAGUUUACACAGUUCACAGUUGCAUCUUUCAAUUUCAUAAAAAAAAUGGCGAGGACAUGGUUUUCCAGAACCUUCUCCCCCGGCCCACCGCUUCUCACUCUCCGCGUUUGCAUCGUUGGAAGUGGACCCGCCGGCUUCUACACGGCCGAGAAGGUAAAGCCUUGGAUUCUAGAGGUUUUGUAGAGUUAAGUGAGAGGAACUUGAAGUUUGUGAGUUCAUACAUAAUGUAAUUGAGCAGUAUGAAAUUUUUGAAUGCUUGUUUGUUGAGUGUUUAGCGUCAUUUUGUGCUUCCCACGAUUCGUUCGUUUAGUACCUCUUAUGUUUGAGCUUAUUGUGAUCAGAAAACUUGCAACUGAUUGAAUGCUCAUUCUUUGGAAAUGUCACUCUUGGAUCCUCUGUCACUCUUCCCGAGCUCCGCCAGCUGUAUGAUGUGGUGAGUUUCUAGCUCAAUAAUGCGAAUUCGUUCUUGUUGUGGUUGUUUGUUUG